This is a long non-coding RNA of Neofelis nebulosa (Clouded leopard), 1529 nucleotides long. RefSeq lists it as uncharacterized. NCBI's taxonomy places the organism in Eukaryota, Metazoa, Chordata, Mammalia, Carnivora, Felidae. The transcript has 3 exons. The record is from RefSeq and is a predicted model, not a curated record.
UAUGGAAUUCUUCUGGUUUGCAGUACUGUGUGUGUUUGUAAAAGAAAUAUGCAUGUUUUUAAAAGUUCCAUCACACAAGAGAGAACUUGUUCCUUCUGCUGAUUUGAAUGGAAUUGAACUUUAAAAGAACAGGUCUAUACAUACAUAACUUAGAAACCUUAAAACACUGCAUGAAAGGAAAAGUCCUGAUUAUCCCACCAAAUGUUUGCUGAAGAGGUUCAACGGGGGACUGAAUGAUAAUGACAGAAAACAUUUGAACUCUGCUAAAUACCUCUCGAGCUGUCCUGCAUUUAUUGAAGAGCCUGUGGAAGAACAGCUUAAGACCACUCAGUGAUUGGUUGUUCCUAUCCAUUCAGCGGCCUGAGCAGAGGGAGCUGCAAACCAGACCUCAGUGGUUGGCUAAGUGCUCCAGUCCACAGUAGGGAACUACUGAAUAGGGACAGAGGACACUUGCACAACUCAGGACCAGUCUCCUCCCUCACGUUGAGUAGCAGUGAGCUCAGCAGCUAGAGCAGUCCACCCACCUUCAAAUUCCUCCUUGUUACAGCCUUUUCAGCAGCGGCCCCUCUUCCUUUCCAAUCUUCUGGAAGCAGGAUCUCCACGGAAGGAGAGAUGAGGUAUGGCCUCCUGCAGGAGUUCACAGGGUGGUGGCGCCAUGCAUGCUCAGACCUUCCCUAGGCCUGUAUUUACCACCUCAGACCCGCUGAGUGAGCUCCCUUAUUGUGGCACGGGAUGGCAAUGCCCACAGAGCACAGAGGAGAGUCUGUGCUACCCAUAAUGAUGGUGGGCAAGUUAACGUAAGACAUCUCCGUGAGAGGCUGGUGGUCGGCCCUGGGAUCGGUAAGCACCAGAAGACGCAACUCCAGGAGGGCUGCGCAGAUACGGUGCACGAAGCUUCCGGGGAGCAAAGGAGCCAACAACAGGAGUGGCUCCAGCAGCAGCAGCAAACGUCAGCCCAGCUCCGUGGCCCGUGUUCCUGGAGGAUAUGAUACUGACACCAGCUGGGUUUUCAGUAGCGACAAUGGCAUGAGCUGCCGGCAGAAGCUUCUCCCAAGUCUCUUCAGAUUAAUAAGUUUUUACGCUGGCGGUGUCUAAUUUUUUUAUAAUUAUAGAAGCAUUUGAAGCCAGUUGCACAAAUAUCAGACUGAAGAUGCCUGGCUUGAAAGUGGUUACUGCUGAUGCCUAAGGACAGUCUCAGUUUGUGGAGAAUCCUGUGCUUUCCAACCUUGACCUCACUUCAUUCUUACAAUAAACUUUGAUUCAUGUCCGCCUUGCAACAAAUGUAUGAAGUAGGUAUCAUCUUCCUCAUUUUAAAAUUCACGCUUAAAGGCCGCAUUAUUAGUGUAUGGUAGAAAUCAGGCUCUGCAAAGUGAAACAUGAACCCAGAGUGAAAAUAACAAUCACUUCAUAAGUUACGAUAAGAGAUAAGAUGUGUAAAGUACUUGCCUGCUGAGGCAGGGUAAGAAAGCUCUUAUAAUGAGCUCUCCCCAUGGAUAUAGUACACAAUCACACGCACAAAGAUAGUGGUA